GCUGGCGGCGUGCUUAACACAUGCAAGUCGAACGAUGAUGCUCCAGCUUUGUUGGGGUGGAUUAGUGGCGAACGGGUGAGUAACACGUGAGUAACCUGCCCUCUUCUUUGGGAUAACGGUCGGAAACGGCUGCUAAUACUGGAUAUUCACUCAUUGGCGCAUGUUGGUGGGUGGAAAGGUUUUUUCUGGUGGGGGAUGGGCUCGCGGCCUAUCAGCUUGUUGGUGGGGUGAUGGCCUACCAAGGCUUUGACGGGUAACCGGCCUGAGAGGGUGACCGGUCACAUUGGGACUGAGAUACGGCCCAGACUCCUACGGGAGGCAGCAGUGGGGAAUUUUGCACAAUGGGCGCAAGCCUGAUGCAGCGACGCCGCGUGAGGGAUGAAGGCCUUCGGGUUGUAAACCUUUUUCGCUCAUGGUCAAGCCGCAGCUUUGGGUUGUGGUGAGGGUAGUGGGUAAAGAAGCGCCGGCUAACUACGUGCCAGCA
RNAcentral lists this ribosomal RNA (484 nucleotides) under Schaalia turicensis. RNAcentral describes it as "bacterial SSU rRNA". It matches the Rfam family "Bacterial small subunit ribosomal RNA", at positions 35 to 513 of the family's 1533-position model. The record is from RNAcentral. Lineage: Bacteria; Bacillati; Actinomycetota; Actinomycetes; Actinomycetales; Actinomycetaceae.